This 166-nucleotide ribosomal RNA is filed under the name uncultured bacterium. RNAcentral's name for it is "partial 16S rRNA". It matches the Rfam family "Bacterial small subunit ribosomal RNA", at positions 352 to 511 of the family's 1533-position model. The record is from RNAcentral.
CAGUAGGGAAUCUUCCACAAUGGGCGAAAGCCUGAUGGAGCAACGCCGCGAGUGUGAUGAAAGGUUUCGGCUCGUAAACACUGUUGUAAGAGAAGAAUGACAUUGAGAGUAACUGUUCAAUGUGUGACGGUAUCUUACCAGAAAGGAACGGCUAAAUACGUGCCUG